GACGAACGCUGGCGGCGUGCCUAAUACAUGCAAGUUGAGCGAUGCAGAUUGGUGCUUGCACCAAUUUGAAGAGCAGCGAACGGGUGAGUAACGCGUGGGGAAUCUGCCCUUGCGCGGGGGACACCAUUUGGAAACGAAUGCUAAUACCGCAUAACAACUUUACACAUAAGUUUUACGUUUGAAAGAUGCUAUUGCAUCACUCAAAGAUGAUCCCGCGUUGUAUUAGCUAGUUGGUGAGGUAAAGGCUCACCAAAGCGAUGAUACAUAGCCGACCUGAGAGGCGGAGAGGCAAAGUUGGGACGGGGACACGGCCAAAACUCCUACGGGAGACAGCAGUAGGGAAUCUUCAGCAAAGGACGAAAGUGUGACCGAGCAACGACGCGUGAGUGAAGAAGGUUUUAGGAUCGUAAAACUCUGUUAGUAGAGAGGGACGUUGGUGAGAGUGGAAAGCGAAGCAAGUGACGGUAACUAGCGAGAAAGGGACGGCUAACUACGUG
Molecule: ribosomal RNA, 497 nt
Filed under: uncultured bacterium
Lineage: Bacteria
Description: partial 16S ribosomal RNA
Rfam family: Bacterial small subunit ribosomal RNA
Source: RNAcentral